CUGCUUCAUAGCUGGAAGUCUUUACUGAGCACGGAGCUAAAGUGUGUACUGAGGAGCCAUCUACUGGCUGCAAUAGCUGAGAACAGCUCGCAGUGCUCUCCUUGAGCAGAGAAACACAGAGAAGUCACUGCAUGCUCUUCUCAAUGGCUGAGAAAAAUCUCCAUUAGACAUGUUAACAGGAACAAGGAGAAGCAUCACAUUGACAUGGAAUAAAGGGUUUCACGAUGAUUUUUUCUGUAACGUUUUCUGAAAAGUAUGUCAGAGCCUAAGCCAAGGAAGUGUGUGGAAUUUGUACCCAUGGAGACUCCAAUAACACAGUCAGCUCCAAACCCACAGAAUUAUUGGUGUUGUUACCUAACGUAUCAGGAACAGAGUUACUGGAAAAAGAGGAGAAAGAGAUUGAAAAGGAGUGAGAAUAUAAAUCAGAGAGGCUGAAUGUGGAAGGCUUGUGGAUUUGCAUCUGAUCUGCCCACAGAGUUGAGGUCAGUGUUCAGUAGGUUGCUGUGAGUGUUAUUCUGGAAAAAUUCACAGGACAAUACUGUGUGUGUGAGCCUCAAAGUCAUCCUGGAUGCAAUGUUCAGAAGUUAAAGUACUUCACUUUUCUUUAAAAGGACUGCAGUCCUUAAAGCAAGGUUAUUUAAAAGGAAACUUUUACAUGAAGGUGUCAUUGAUUAAUAAACAGUAAAAUAAAAAAACGAACAGUUCGUGAGAAAUCAUCUGAUACACAUAAAAAUCAACAAAAAGCAGGACCUACUUUACCUGUACUUUACCUGACAGGUUU
This 781-nucleotide long non-coding RNA is filed under the name Gallus gallus (chicken). RNAcentral's name for it is "long non-coding RNA NONGGAT005605". The record is from RNAcentral. Lineage: Eukaryota; Metazoa; Chordata; Aves; Galliformes; Phasianidae.